ACGUUAGGAAAGCGAGCGGCGGAUGGGUGAGUAACACGUGGGGAACCUGCCCCAUAGUCUGGGAUACCACUUGGAAACAGGUGCUAAUACCGGAUAAGAAAGCAGAUCGCAUGAUCAGCUUUUAAAAGGCGGCGUAAGCUGUCGCUAUGGGAUGGCCCCGCGGUGCAUUAGCUAGUUGGUAAGGUAAAGGCUUACCAAGGCGAUGAUGCAUAGCCGAGUUGAGAGACUGAUCGGCCACAUUGGGACUGAGACACGGCCCAAACUCCUACGGGAGGCAGCAGUAGGGAAUCUUCCACAAUGGACGCAAGUCUGAUGGAGCAACGCCGCGUGAGUGAAGAAGGUUUUCGGAUCGUAAAGCUCUGUUGUUGGUGAAGAAGGAUAGAGGUAGUAACUGGCCUUUAUUUGACGGUAAUCAACCAGAAAAGUCACGGCUAACUACGUGCC
Molecule: ribosomal RNA, 444 nt
Filed under: uncultured bacterium
Lineage: Bacteria
Description: bacterial SSU rRNA
Rfam family: Bacterial small subunit ribosomal RNA
Source: RNAcentral